RNAcentral lists this ribosomal RNA (414 nucleotides) under uncultured Rhodoferax sp. Its description in RNAcentral is "bacterial SSU rRNA". It matches the Rfam family "Bacterial small subunit ribosomal RNA", at positions 965 to 1382 of the family's 1533-position model. The record is from RNAcentral. Lineage: Bacteria; Pseudomonadati; Pseudomonadota; Betaproteobacteria; Burkholderiales; Comamonadaceae.
AAAACCUUACCCACCUUUGACAUGUACGGAACCUUUAGAGAUAGAGGGUGCUCGAAGAGAGCCGUAACACAGGUGCUGCAUGGCUGUCGUCAGCUCGUGUCGUGAGAUGUUGGGUUAAGUCCCGCAACGAGCGCAACCCUUGUCAUUAGUUGCUACAUUCAGUUGGGCACUCUAAUGAGACUGCCGGUGACAAGCCGGAGGAAGGUGGGGAUGACGUCAAGUCCUCAUGGCCCUUAUAGGUGGGGCUACACACGUCAUACAAUGGCUGGUACAAAGGGUUGCCAACCCGCGAGGGGGAGCCAAUCCCAUAAAGCCAGUCGUAGUCCGGAUCGUAGUCUGCAACUCGACUACGUGAAGUCGGAAUCGCUAGUAAUCGUGGAUCAGAAUGUCACGGUGAAUACGUUCCCGGGUCUU